UCCCCAGACUUUCCCCUAGUGUCUACAGGUGGUUUCAAGUGUGAACGAAUGAAGGAGCGAGCAGAAGACCACCGAAGCCCUCACCCCACAGGGACACCUGAGCUGGGACCCAAGCAGGGGACAGCAGGCUCACCCCGCCCUUGCAGGACUGACCACGCGCCAUGACGAAGGCUCGUGUAGCUGGCGCCAUGUCGGACAGCAGGGGAGAGAGAAAAUGCACAACCCAGCAAAUUCGGAGACAGGCCCAGCACUGGGCAUGGCGGCCAGAAGGAGCAGCCGGAGAGUAGGCAGGGCCUGGGAUGGCCUUGCAGGUCAGAGGUCAGGGAAGGCCUGGGGGUGGUGAAUGAGCAGGCCCCGCAAUGAUAUCGGAGGGGCAGGCGGGGAAGGUUCCCGGAAGAGCAGCCCGGAGAGCAUGCACAGGGAGGCAGCGGCCAGAAGGCGGGAAGGGGGCCCUGGCAUGUCCAGCGGGCAGCAAAAGGCUGGCAUGGCUGCACCGGGGCAGUGGUGGUGGAUGGGUGGCCUGGGGCUGGAGUUCGGGCAGAGUCAGACCACGCCGGGCCUUGUAGGCCAGUGCCAGGGCUUUGCAAGUGCUGCUGAGGGGCACAGGCCUGGACAGGCUGGCAUGGCUGUGGCAGGGCCCCUGUGGCUGCUCUGCUGAGGGCGAGGGCGGAGGGCAGAGGCUGGAGCAUCAGGAGGCCCUGCCCAGCCACGGUGCCCUGGGGAGGGCUGCCCAGUUCUGGCCGUGCCUUGAAAGUUUGCCCGAAAGAUUCACUGUGGAGCAGAUGUGGUCACAGGAGCAAGGGAGAAGUCAGAAGGCCUGGGCCCUGGGGGACAGGUCAGAGGUCAGGGAAGUCCUGGAUAGGGUGAAUGAACAGCCCCCACCAGUGAUAUCAGAGGGGCAGGGUGGGCCCUACGGCCUGGGCCCUGGGGAACAGGGCGCACCCCCUGGGAGGGGGACAUCCCAUCACCAGGGAGCCUUCUGAGACCAUUUUGCAGGUGGGGAAACUGAGGCUCAGGAGGAAAAACCAGCUGCCCAGCACUCAAAGACCCAGAGCCUGCCUGCCUGCCCUUGCAUCCUAGUCUGUCCCCAGAUCUGAACCUGCUCCAGCCCCAGAACCCUGAGUGCAGCCAAAGGGGAGCAGGGCUGGAGAGCGGGAGCCCCCACAUGGUGGCCUGCGUGGCGCAGAAGAGGCCGUCCCCGGCCAGAGCGGUGGGAGAAAGGCUCCUUCACGCAGACGCUGCGGCCCAUCCCAGAGGGUCCCGGAGCUGGGGACAGCUCCCAGCGAGGGGCCUGGGAUUUGGCAGCCAUAGGAGACCCACUGUCCCACCCCUUCCCUCAUGGAUCUUCUGACACCCUCCAGCCCAGAAGGUCAUCGUCGAGUGCGGAGGAUGAGUAGGGCUCCCCUGGGAGACUCCCUGCCGCUGGCGUGGACCAGGGGCCACCCCACGGCCUCCAGAGGCCCCUGUUCCCUGUGCUCUGUGAUUCCUGGCCAGCUCCUGCCCAGCAGGCUCCGUUGCCCCGGUCAGCUGCCCGAAGCCCCUCUCAGCUGCCUGCCUAAGCCCCUUGGAGCUGCAGCUUCGCUCAUCUUUGCAGGGGGAGAAAGAAGGACCUGAUUCUAGCCACCCACUUCUGUUCCCUGCGUCCUGGGCCACAGUGAUGCCGUCGGCAAAGCCCCACGGCUCCAAGGGGACCCCAUCCCUGUGGAUUCCACCAGCAUCUCUCGCAGCUGCCUCCAGCUCCGGAACCAAACUACGCCCGGCCCCACUCUGGGCAGCUGGUCCCUGCCCCUCUCCCGGGGUGCCACCGAAGGAGGUGGCUGGGGGAGAACUCAGAGCUUCUGCUCUCCAAGGUGGACAACAGGCGUCCUGGGCUGUCCUGUCCAAGCCGCCCUGAUGGACGCCCACACUGGGCCUCGCCUCCCGGCCUCCUGCCCCACCCGAAGCUUGUAACCCAGCCCCGGACAGAGGAGACCGAGGGCCUGCGGCCGAAUUCUCCGAUUCUCACUUUACUCUUGGCCGUGGCCUCUCACCGCCUCCCAAGGGCCUUAUUUCUGAGACCCUCCCCAGCCCUGAAUGCCCUCAGUCAUAGCACUAGCCUGGGGUCUGCUAGGGUUAGAGGGCUCCUUCUGGCCUCUUCGCCGCACCCGGCGCGCAGCCCCGAGCCCAGGGGUUAAGGGAGCAGCUUUGCUCUCCCGUGCACAUCCUCUGGGAGCCGGCGGCAGCAUCUCAGCCACAAUUAGCCGGCUCCCUCAUCGCUGCCCUAUAAAUAUUCAUUCUGGGAUUGUUACAAAGGUGCUUUUUAUAA
Molecule: long non-coding RNA, 2305 nt
Organism: Saimiri boliviensis boliviensis (Bolivian squirrel monkey)
Lineage: Eukaryota; Metazoa; Chordata; Mammalia; Primates; Cebidae
Source: RefSeq, a predicted model, not a curated record